CCGGCGACCGGCGCACGGGUGAGUAACACGUAUGCAACCUGCCCUCUUCAGGGGGACAACCUUCCGAAAGGGAGGCUAAUCCCACGUAUAUCGGUUUCGGGCAUCCGAGAUCGAGGAAAGAUUCAUCGGAAGAGGAUGGGCAUGCGGCGCAUUAGCUAGACGGCGGGGUAACGGCCCACCGUGGCGACGAUGCGUAGGGGUUCUGAGAGGAAGGUCCCCCACACUGGUACUGAGACACGGACCAGACUCCUACGGAAGGCAGCAG
This 265-nucleotide ribosomal RNA is filed under the name uncultured bacterium. Its description in RNAcentral is "partial 16S ribosomal RNA". It matches the Rfam family "Bacterial small subunit ribosomal RNA", at positions 88 to 354 of the family's 1533-position model. The record is from RNAcentral.